Molecule: ribosomal RNA, 119 nt
Filed under: Triticum aestivum (bread wheat)
Lineage: Eukaryota; Viridiplantae; Streptophyta; Magnoliopsida; Poales; Poaceae
Also listed under: 1 other name
Source: RNAcentral
GGAUGCGAUCAUACCAGCACUAAAGCACCGGAUCCCAUCAGAACUCCGAAGUUAAGCGUGCUUGGGCGAGAGUAGUACUAGGAUGGGUGACCUUCUGGGAAGUCCUUGUGUUGCAUUCC